UACGUAGGGGGCGAGCGUUGUCCGGAAUUAUUGGGCGUAAAGAGCUCGUAGGCGGCUUGUCACGUCGGGUGUGAAAGCCCGGGGCUUAACCCCGGGUCUGCAUUCGAUACGGGCAGGCUAGAGUGUGGUAGGGGAGAUCGGAAUUCCUGGUGUAGCGGUGAAAUGCGCAGAUAUCAGGAGGAACACCGGUGGCGAAGGCGGAUCUCUGGGCCAUUACUGACGCUGAGGAGCGAAAGCGUGGGGAGCGAACAGG
Molecule: ribosomal RNA, 253 nt
Filed under: uncultured bacterium
Lineage: Bacteria
Description: partial 16S ribosomal RNA
Rfam family: Bacterial small subunit ribosomal RNA
Source: RNAcentral